UGGGGAAUAUUGGACAAUGGGCGAAAGCCUGAUCCAGCCAUGCCGCGUGUGUGAAGAAGGUCUUCGGAUUGUAAAGCACUUUAAGUUGGGAGGAAGGGUUGUAGAUUAAUACUCUGCAAUUUUGACGUUACCGACAGAAUAAGCACCGGCUAACUCUGUGCCAGCAGCCGCGGUAAUACAGAGGGUGCAAGCGUUAAUCGGAAUUACUGGGCGUAAAGCGCGCGUAGGUGGUUUGUUAAGUUGGAUGUGAAAUCCCCGGGCUCAACCUGGGAACUGCAUCCAAAACUGGCAAGCUAGAGUAUGGUAGAGGGUGGUGGAAUUUCCUGUGUAGCGGUGAAAUGCGUAGAUAUAGGAAGGAACACCAGUGGCGAAGGCGACCACCUGGACUGAUACUGACACUUAGGUGCGAAAGCGUGGGGAGCAAACA
RNAcentral lists this ribosomal RNA (427 nucleotides) under uncultured Pseudomonas sp. RNAcentral's name for it is "bacterial SSU rRNA". It matches the Rfam family "Bacterial small subunit ribosomal RNA", at positions 355 to 774 of the family's 1533-position model. Lineage: Bacteria; Pseudomonadati; Pseudomonadota; Gammaproteobacteria; Pseudomonadales; Pseudomonadaceae. The record is from RNAcentral.